CUAAAUUAGAAAUUUUUUAUUGGAAGGUGUAGUCAACCAAUUUUGCCCGGGCCCAUUUAAUUUAUUUGCAAAUAAUAAACCCGAAUAAAUAAAUAAAAUCCAAAGACUAAAUAGUCCAGUAAAGUCCCUUUACAAUUUUCAAAAUGCAUGUACCAAAAUAACUCAUGACCCAACAAAUUUUAAAACCCAAUUCUAUAAACCCAGGCCCUAAAUCUAGCCCAAACCCGAAAAAGCCCAAAAAGGAAAAGUAUUCCAGCAGCCAAGCACCAGAAGCUUCUGGAACGUGCCAGAACAGUGCCAGGGAGUUGGGUUUCACGAGCGGAUUCCUCGCACAGUUUCGUUCAAGCGUGCUUCUCCCCGUUUCUCCGUACGGCCAUUGCUCCAUACCUGCAAAAGAAUGUACGAGAAGAAGCAGCAACAGAAUGUACAGCCAAAUGACAGAGGGAAAAUGUAUUUUUAUUUUUCAUUUAUUCUGUAAAUUUGGGCUAUAAAAGCCAUUAUUUGUACCUUGAUUUUUUACACACACACACAGAAUAUACUAUACGCAUACAAUAUCUGUACACACGCACAGAGAAGAGAGAAGCGAUUUAAGAUCAAUAGAGGUGAUUUCAUUUUUUUUCUCUUCCGAUUUUUUUUCGUUUUUUCUAUUCUCUUUAUUUUCUUAUUUGUUUGCUUAUUUUUUAUGCAACUUAAGGCCGACGAAAGCUCUAAAUCUGCCAUGCGAAUAUAAGGGCGAGAGGUCACAUAAUAGUGGAAAUCUAUUCAUUUUACAAAUCUGUCUUCAUUUUUUUUCUUUAAAAAAUAACAUGAGAUUUGAAAGCUCCAUUCAAAUAAAGAAGAAAGAAGGGAAAAUACUUAUCGAAUCCUUUUAGAUCAGGUCGAGCUCCUUUAACGGCAAGAUUGGGCAUGUCUCGCUUACUAGUAAUCACCUAAAAGCAUGGUGGUUUGGUAGUCAAGUGAAGAAAACCCUAAAAAAAUUGAUUUUAAAGGCUGGAAUUUCUUUUGAUCUAAGUGGGGGUUGUGUUUGAGGAAUGAAACAGAAGAGGAUAGGUCUUAAAUGACUAGGUGACUAUGCGGCGCCGUUUCAAAGCGCAAAGGCCCGCGCGUCAACCCGUUUUGGUAGGCCGGGUAUGCGCAUGGUUGGGGUGAAUGGGGAAAUUGCGUGACGGAUCCCUCCCCUUUGCGCGCAGUCCUCAAUUUUCGCCUGAUUCGCCUAUUUUAUGUUUUAAAAUUGGCCCGUUAGUUCGUAUAUGGUUUCAAUUGGAUUCGUGGUUUAUUGCUGCAUUGUGAGCAUGGGAUAUUUUCAAUACUAGUCCUCACAUGUUUGUGCGCAUGGCACAUUGAUUCUAUUUUGUAAUUAUUUUAUUUGCAAAUUGUUUCUCCUGUUUUAAUUUUGCUUCAAUUAAGUAUUAUUCUCAUUUUACUGCAUAUAUAUUUUUUAUAUGAUUGAUUAUUGGUUAAGAUAUUUCAUAUGGUUUUGAUAAUUGAACUCUCCUUUAAAAAAGGGUUAUUUUAAUCUUAUUUUCUCUUUAUUUCAAUCAUUUUUAUUAGUUGAUGUUUAUUUAUUUUAUUCUAGUUUAUAUAUAUCAUUGAUUUCAUGUUAUUUUGUAAUUUUUUUUGAUGUUUUUAAAAAUGCAUUUGUUUAUGUGUCAUUUACAUUAUUAUUAAACACAUGUUUUGUACUUAUAUUUAAUUUGCAUCUGUUAUUAAAGCUUUGAUAUUCUUAUACAUAUAGAUUUUAAUAAACAUGUAAUUAAUUGCGUUUUUUAUUUAUUAUGUAUAUAACUUAUGAUAAAACUAGGUUAAUAUUAUAAUUCAUAUUUUAAUUAAAUGAUAUUUUGACAUACAAUUAUUUCUAACAUUUCUUUACAUGUAUAUGGUACAUAUUAAAUUAUUUUUACUAUGGUACAUGUUAUUAUUUUCAUAUAACUUUAUAUAAAUAUUUUUCUAUAUGUAUAUAUCCUCUUUUAAAAUUAUUUAUGUGUAUAAUAUUUUUAGGAACCCUAUUUUAAAUCAUAUAAUUUAUUGUAUCUCAUAUUAUCCUUAUGUUUUUUUAUAUAUAUUUUACUACUUAUAUAACUUAUAUAUUUACUUCAUUUUUUUCAUACAAUAUUAAUUUCAUUUUUACAAAUAAUUAUACCCAAUUUUUACUUGUAUAUACAAGUUUCAUAAAUCUAUUUUGUACAUUACUUUAUAUCAUGUAUUGUUAUUCCUUCAUAUUUCAUAUAUUAUUUAAAUUAUCUUGUGAAUUAUCAAUUUUUGAAUAGAUUUGUGUUUUAAAUAUUUUGUAUAUAAUUUGAUUUGAACUUUGAAAUUUAUAAUAACCAUUUCAAUAAAUAUAUACCCCAAGUUUUACGCAAAUGUAUCAACUUAUAUAUAUUAUAUGAUCAUUAAUUCUGCAUUUUGUUUCAUACAUAUUUUUGUACAUCAUUUUAUUUUAUGUUAUGAUCAUGUGUAUUAUUUUUAUAUUAAUUAUUCAUUAUCCAUGCUUAAAGAAUUUUUUGUUACAUUAUACCUAGAAUGAUUGUUAGAUGUACUAAGCAAGGUUUAUUGUAUUUUGAGUAUAUUAUUUCAUAUUUAUUAUUUUUUUACAAUGCAUUAAAUAUUUCAUCAAUUUUAAAAUGAAUAAACAUGUUUUUAAGCAAAUUUCUAAGUUUUUGUUAUUCAAAAAUUCUGAAAUAAGGCAAUAUCUAGUGUUUGGGAAAUUUGGAAAAUCGUGCUCAAUCGUACUGGGUAUGACUUUUCCGGUGAACCAAAUAUUUGGAUAACCCCUUUUAUAAUUUUUAAUUUUUUCAAAAGUCGAAAAUCGAUCGCAUCUUAAAGGUAUAAGGGAUCGUAUCCAAUCGUACUGGGUAUGAAACCGCAUAUCUUUGGAACGAGAGAUUUUUGACCACUAAUUUGAGCUAUUCAAACAUUUUUUUAUAUACUUCGGAAAAUCUUUUCUUUUAAAACUUUUUAAGGACAGCAUCAAAUCAAUUUGGUACCAGUUUUUGGGCGUAAUGAGGGUGCUAACCCUUCCUCAUGCGUAACCGACUCCCAAACCCAAUUUUUUUUAUAUUUUACCUAAACCAAAUUUAGUUUUCAUUGAAUAAAGCGUUUUAAUAGGUGGUCCAAUCACACCUAAAUCCAGAGAUUGGUGGCGACUCCGCACUCGAUUUUAAAAGUCGAUCCCCAUUGUUUUCUAAAUAAAAAAGGGUUUCGACAGCUUGGCGACUCUACUGGGGACUGAACAAAGAGAGCCAGGCCAUAAAAUUGAUUGUUUGCUGUCUUUUUAAUUGAAAAUUUGUUUUAGUAUGAUUCUUUUAAUUGCAUUUGCCUGUGUGAUGGUUGUGUUUCGAGUCCUGUCUAAUAAAUAUGGCAUUACAUUGCAUGACCGUUGUAGUUAUACCUAUUAAGUGAGAGUAAGAAACUAUGCUUUCAUGAGGUUUUCACCUUCGUAUGGGCUAGUGGAUUGCUUUCGGAUACAUCUGUACCUAUGAUUCUGUGAGAUUUUCAUCUCCGCAUGGUCAUAGGGAAAUGUAUUCCCCUGAACCGAACUCGAUCUAUAUGAGCCUAUAAUGGGUGAGGAUUGAGGAAUCUGCUGGUUCAGGUACCUUUACUCUAGAACCAAACUUCAUAUAGUGAACCUUAAGAACUAUCCUUAGGUAGAGCCACGUCGAACCUUAGUCAUUACCUAUUUGUGUGUUAUGAUUAUCUUUGUUGUUAUGCUUGUAUUUUAUUACUCGUAUUUGAUACUAACCUGUGCUUUGUUUUGGUUGUGUUUUGCAUGACAUUGCAUACUAAAGAAGGUGUUGGUUCGUAUUCGAUUGCUAAGUUAGAAAGUUUAACAUGAAGAAUGUGUAACAUUCCAAAAUAGGGCCUAAACGGAACAGUGGUUGCGAAACCACAAAUCUGAGGUAGAAAAAAAUUUAUUUUAUUAUUAUUUUGAGGUUCAUGGUAUGAUUACAUGAUUGUGCGAAAAUUUCGUGAUAAAAUUCUAUGCAUAAAGUGCUUAAGUUGAGGUUAGGGACUAAAUCGAAUAAUUUGCAAAACUUGCAUUCUAGAAGUUUUUAGUAUGAAAUUAUUUUGGAAUAUUAAUUAGGAGAUCUUAAAUGGUAAUUUGACCAAUUUUAAGUUCAUGGACAAAAUUAGGACAUGGAAGGAAUUUUUGAAAGUUUAGUAAGGAGGGGUAUUUUGGUCAUUUGGUUAUUAACACUAAUAAAAAGGUAAAAAGAUGAUAAAAUUGUAUCAUCUUCUUCAAUUUACCAGCCGAACCUUACCUCUCUCCAUAGCUGGGGUUUCUUCAACUUUCAAGCUUUAUAGUAAGUGAUUCCAAGCCCCGUUUUUAAUGAUCUUUACGUUUUUUAAGUCCUGGUAGCUCGAUAAAGCUUAUGCUAGCAAUAAUUUAAGUUAGGAAUCAAAUUUGGAAAAAUACCCAUAGGUGAAAUUUGUGUAUUUUGAUGUUUUAUGAUGGAAUAUGAGGCUUUAAAUUAUGUUAGACAACUUGUGCUACUUGGUUUUAAGUGAAAACGAGUAAAAAGGCUUAAUCGGUAAAAAUACCUAAUAGUCAUAAGUACAUAUUAGUGUGUGAAUUUGAUGUUGUCAUAGAAGGGAAAAAUGAUCAGUAUGUCAUAAAACAUAAGAAAAUGGGAUGAAGUUUAAUUUACGAGCCUUGGGGCAAAAGUGCAAAUAUGUGAAAGUUUAGGGGCAAAAAUGUGAUUUUGCCAAAGUUUGAGUAAAGGGUUGUUUUGAUAAAUGUUGAUAUUAAAUAAGCUAAAUUUUCUAUUAUAGAUCAAGAAGAGCGAAAUUCGGGAGUAGAUCGGGGAAAAGAAAAAGUAAAGGACUAAAUUGUAAACUUUAGUCACAUUUUGUAUCGAGGUAAGUUUACAGUAAAUAAAUGCAAUAUUCUUUUAUUUUACAUUAUUAUUGUCAAUUUCCAGCAUUUAUAUAUUUAUGUUAUGAAAAUAUUUAAAGUCGAAUUUAAGGUGAAGUGAUAGAGGAAAAGUGUUAGAAAGCCCCGGUUGAACCCUAGGAAUGUUAGGAUAUUAGGGUUGACAGGACAGAACAGAAAUGAGCCAUGUAAGUCCAUAUUAGAAAUAUGGCUUUGGAGACAGGAUUGAGCCAUGUAAGUCCAUAUUAUAUAUGGCAUUGGAGACAGGAAUAAUUCAUGUAAGUCCAUGUCAAAGACAUGGCAUUGGCAGGGUAUUGAUAGACAGGAAUGACCCUAGUAUCCUUAGUAUUCCGAGUGGUUCAACGGGUCAGAAUACGAGUUAAAUUACAGUGAAUUAACAGCAAAGGAAAAUUAGAUUAUAUUUAUGAAAAAGGAAAGGUCGGGUAAGAAAGAAGGUAAGGGAAUAAAGAAGAAGAUAGAAAUUGAGAAGUAAAGAAAUUUAUGAUGUUAGAUGAUAUUAUGCAUAAUUAUCCAUUAUGUUGAAUGUUGUGAUUUAUUUGCUUGUAAGCUUACUAAGCCUAGUGCUUAAUCUCUUUAUUUUCUUCUUCUUAUAGUACUUAUCUAGCCACUCGGGGAUCGAAGGAAACGUCGGAGGCCGAUCACACUAUCAAAGAAAUAACUCGGUAUAAUUAGACGUUUUGUUUUGUGUAUGGCAUGUAUAGAAACUUAGCUACUUUUGGUAUAAUAUGAACAAUGAAUGAUGUGUAAAUACUUGCUAGUGAUUAGCUAAUAAAAAUGGCUGAUGAUAUGCAUGUUUAUUAAUAUGUAUGAUUGAAUGGUGAUUAUCACAUGAAAAUUAUGAAAAAUGUGAAAGUAACCUAAAAACAGAUUCAAGUAACAGAAAUGACGUAACUUUGAAAAAUCACUAAAAAUUGUAGAAACAUAGUUUGAUGAUGAAUAAUAUAUUAAAUUAAAGCUUAUUAUGUCUAUUUUCCUAUGGAAUAAGAAAAACAGGUAAAGGUAUUAUAUUAUAUGAUAUAUCUAAGUUUUAGUGAAACAGGAUCAGAGCGAUUUCUGGAUCCCCUAUUUCAACUUUGUAAAUUCACCAUAAAUUGUAAAAAACUAAUUAGAAGGUUUACUUUAUAUGGUUAUAAUCCUUGUUGAGUCUAGUUUUAAGAGAAACAAAUGGCUUAGUGAUAUGAAUUUUGUACAGGAAGAAACAUGGUUCGUAGCAAGAAGAGGUUAGUGCAGUCGAGUUUUGAAACAAGGGAAACUUUAACUAAUAAACUGUACUAAUUGGACAAGUCAAAAAUCUAUGAAAAAAAUUAGUGGAUAGAUAUAUGAGUCUAGUUUCAGGAAAAAUUUACGGAUCUUAAUUUUGAGUUUUGGAACUCAAGAUAUGAAUUUUUAGGCGACUACGACGCAGAAUGGAAGCACAUUCCGAAAAGCUUAAAUAAACAAUUUAAAACUAUUUAAGUGAUAGAUUAAGUUUAGUAAUGCCUCGUGCUCAAUUCUGGAAACAGUCUCGGCUAAGGAGUGUUACAGAAUGAAUUUAUUAGUAAAGUUGAGGAUAAUGCGGCCGUCCGUGCAUGGUCAGAGAAGUUGCAAAACGAGAAAGGGGAUAGCCUGACAGAAGGAUAUACAUCAGAGUUGCAGAACUUUACUCACAUCAUUGUAACACAGAAUGAGCUGGAGGAGUUGAAGGACAUAUGGACUAGUUGGGAUGAAGGCACUAAACAGUUGUUCUACCAGAGUUAUGGUGAUAUACCGUACUUGCUCGAUGUUAAGGUGGAUAAACGUUUGUUCUGAGGUAUGACUCAAUUUUGGAAUGCUGCUUAUAAUUGUUUCACAUUUGGAGAAGUAGAUUUGGUUCCUACUUUAGAAGAAUACACUACUUUUUUUAAGAGUCCAAAGGCUCAAGCCAGGAUGAUUUAUGCUAAGCUUACUAAUAGUCCAACUUUUGCGAAGAGGUUGGUGAAUAUUUCAGGGAUGAAUGAAUCUUGGGUCACUGCUCGAAUUCAAUAGAAGGGGGAUAGCAAGUGUAUUCCUUGGGAAAAUCUAAGAGAUUUGAUUUUGACUCACCUAGAUGAGAAGAAAAGGGUUGAAAUUUUUGCCUUAAGCAUCUAUAGAUUGGUGAUUUUUCCUAGGGCUUUAAGACAUGUUGAUGAGGCAGUCACUGAUCUGUUUGAUCGUCUCGGGAAAGGAGUCACACCUGUACUUGCAAUACUGGCCGAGACGUUUAGAUCUUUGAGCAUGUGCCGGAAGGCAGGGGAAGGUCGAUUUAUUGGCUGUGCACAGUUGUUAAUGGUAUGGUUUCACGGGCAUUUUUGGAAAGUAGAUAAGGUAUCAUACCAGAUUUUCUCUGAAGGUUACUCCCCGUUAAAAGAAGAGAUAGCAAUGCAAAGGAGAGAUGAUAUUUCGGAAGAGAAAUGGAUGGAAAUUCUCCAAAAUCUCAAGGAAGAUGAUGUAGAGUGGAGGGCUUUCUAAAUGGUUCCUGACGAAGUCUUGUAUCGAUGUGGAAGUUAUAAUUAGGUGCCAUUAUUAGGAAUUUGGGGAGCUACUGGAUAUACUCCUUUACUUGUACUAAGGCAGUAUAAGUCGAGGCAGUUUAUACCUACGACGCACGGGUUGGCCCACUGUGAACUUCUAUAUAAAGGAGACCACUAUAGGAAGAAUGUUCGAGAAUCGUCUGAUGCUUGGAGGCAAAUGCACUGGAUGAAAAGGCUGACUGUUGGUUCUAUAGUAACACUCGAAUAUAAUGGGUGGUUUAGGAAAAGAGUCAAUGACAAUAUUCCAAGACCAAGUUUGGAAAGCGCUCGACCAAUGGAGGAACAGUUACAAGUUGCCUCGUCGGAGUUGGAAAUUAUAAAGCAGGAUUUUGAGAAGAAGAGUUCUGAGUUCGGGAAGAAGAUUGAGCAGUUGAAAGAAGAAAAGAUGCACUUGAAGUUAGAAGUGGAGAUUCAAAAGUCAGAGGCAGAAAAGCUACAGAAAAGGAAGGGUAAAAUUGAGGAAAAUUUGGAAAGUUUGAAAACUGAUUACAAGAAACUGCGCUUAUCAAUGAGGACUGCUGGGCUAGGAAAGACUUCGGAACAAUGGCGUCAAGAGGUUUGAGAAGAAAGGGCUAAGGCAGAUCAAUGGGAAAAGAGGUUCCAGGAGGCUCAAGCUCGGAAAGAAGCUUUAGAAAGAAGUCUAUCAGAGAGUAAGAAUGAGAAGGAUGAACUAAGAGCCAGAGUGGUGGAACUUAAGAGAUCUCUGUGUUUAUACCGAAAUCGUAAUUCUGUGACUGAAUUGAAAGCAAGCUUAAGUAAGAUCGAGGAGAAGAAAGGGAAAAUAGAAAAGUUAGAAACCGCAUUGCAGAGUUGUGAAAUGAGGAUUGAGUUCUUGGAGGCAAAUGAGGAGCAAUGGAAGAAUCAACUUCAUCAAUCUCAAGACCAAGUUAGAAGCAGGGAUUACAUCAUGGGAGAAGCUGUAAUGCAAAUUCGAGAAGUAGCUGACUACUUGCAGUCCUUGGCAGUACAGGUGGACGUAUUAAGUGUGAAGUACGAGCUGGAGUCAGAUAGGGGACAAGAAUUAGCUUCAUUGCUUAGGAAAAUUAAGGCCCAGAGUGUUAGGGCAAAGUCGUAUUUGUAACUCAGUUUUAUGUAAAGAGUUUUAUUUUCUAGUGAAAUUUUCUAAAAGGAAUUGAAUCAGAAUUGGUGCCUCCUUUGCAUUCAUGCAUUUGCAUUACAUUACAUUAUAUGCAUUAAAAAUCAUAAUAAGAUUCUAAUUAAUAAAAAAAUUAUUUCAGUAAUCUGGAAACCAACCAAAACACACCAAAUACGCAUCCCUACGGUACGAGGAAAAAGACUAAGUCAAUGGAAAAAAGACAGGAAAAGUUAGAACAGAUGCAAAAGGAUAUGCAAGAGCAAAUGCAGUCACAAAUGCAAGAACAACUGGUUAAGAUUCAUGUGACAACCCGAAUUAGGGCCUAAUCAGAAUAAUGGUUUUGUGACCACAAAUCCGAGAUAGAAAUAAUUGUUUUAUAAUUAUUUUGGGGUUUAUGAUAUGAUUUCAUGAUUUCAUGAAAAUUUCGUGAUGAAAUUCUAUGCAUUGAGCGCUUAAGUUGAGAUUAGGGACUAAACCGAAUAAAUUGUAAAACUCGUGUUUUAGAAGUUUUUAUUAUGAAAUUGCUUUGGGAUAUUAACUAGGAGGUCUUAAAUAGAAAUUUGACCCAUUCCUAAGUUAUGGACAAAAGUUGGACAUGGAGUGAAUUUUUGGAAAGUUUAGUAGUAAGGGCAUUUUGGUCAUUUGUAUAUUAAAUAAAAUAAAAUGGGAAAAAUAACACAAAAUUGGUCAUCAUCUUCACUAGUUGCUGCCGAAAUUUUCUCUCCUCCAUAGCUAGGGUUUCUUCAACUUUCAAGCUUCAUAGUAAGUGAUUUCAAGCCCCGUUUUUAAUGUUCUUCACAUUUUUAAAAUCCUCGUAGCUCGGUUUACUUAUUUCUACCAUUAUUUCGAGUUAGGGUUUAUGUUUAAAAAUUUACCCAUGAAUGAUAGGCAUGUAUUGUGUUGUUUGAUGGUAGAAUAUGAAUGUUUGAAGUUAGGAGAACGAUCUUUUCUAAGCGAUUUUUAACGAAAACGAGCAAAACGGCAUAAUCGAUAAAAAUACCUAUUGUUCAUAACUAUGUGUUAGAGUGAGAAUUUGAUGUUGCCAUAGAAGAGAAAAAUGAUCAGUAGGUCAUUAAACAUAAUAAUAAGGGCUGAAAUUAAAUUUCCGAGCCUUAGGGAAAAAUCGUAAUUUUGUAAAAGUUAGGGGCAAAAAUGUAAUUUUUGUAUAAUGUGAUUUUUGGAUUAAAAUAAAUAGUUCGAGUGUUAAAUGAGCUAAAUAUGUUGUUAUAGAUCAAGAAAGGCAUGGAAUCGACCUCGAACGGGAGAAGGAGAAAGUUUUGGACUAAAUUGCAAAAUUCCCAUAUUUUGCACCGAGGUAAGUUUGUAUGUAAAUAAUACAUUAAUUUCAUUUACAUUCUUAUUUUUCAGCCUAUUAUAUAUAUAUACUAGCUGAUGUUGAAAUAUAAAUCGACUAUGGAAGAAUGGAAAUAAGUAAUAGAGAGAUCCCGGUUGAACAUUCGGAAAGAUCGAAUAAAAUAGAGGGAGCGUAGCUAGGUCACAUGUAUGGUGCUGAGUGCACAUCAUGUGUACAAGAAAGCUACGAGAUACUAUGUAGUAGCUAGGUCACAUAUGUGAUACGAGAUGUAUCCCUUGUAGACAAGAGAGCUACGUGAGAGAUAAAUGUAACUAGGUCGCAUGCGUGAUUCCAAGUGAAGGACACCAUGUAGACAAGAGAGCUACGAGACAAAUCAGCUAGGUCACAUGAGUGAUACUAAGUGUUCACCAUGUGUAUAAGAGAGCCGAAUUAAAUAAAAUAUGAUGGUGGGGCUGUGUGCUGAAACCAUCAAGUAUCGAGGAUUAAUCCGAAUUGUUCAACGGGAUGGCUUUGUGGUGGCAUUGUACUCAUGGGCCUAUAUUUGUGAUUUAUGAAAUGUGGUGAAAAUGAAUUAUGAUAUAUAUAUAAGUUAAAAUGAGGUUAGUACAAAGAAUGUGUGAAAGAGUGAAAUUAGCAUUAAAACUGUUUUGGACAGUAGCAGUGACUUGAUUUUUAAAAAUCACAAAAAAUAGAAGGAAAGUUAAUUAGAGGUUGAAUGAGAUGUUAAAUUAAAUAUUAAUGAGUCUAUUUUUAUAUAAAAGAAAUAGAGCAAGCAAAGGAAUUCUAUAUUUUGAGAUAUUUACAAUUGUGUGUGACUUGCUCAGGAUGACUAUGUGAUCCCCUGUUCCAACUUUGAAAAAUAAUUAAAAAUUGUACAAAACAAAUUAAGAAAUAUAGUUUAUAUGUCUAAAUUCCUUAUUGAGUCUACUUUUAAAUGAAAUAGGUUUCAUGGUUAUUUGAAUUGUGUACUGAGAGAAAUUUAAUUCGUAGUGAAAAGAGGUCAGAUCAGUUGAGCUGUGUAAUAGGGGAACUUUAACUAAUAAAAUGUAAUAAUUGGCUGAGCCAAAAAUUUUAGAAAAAAAUUAGUAAUAAUUUUUAUGAGUCUAGAUUCAGAAAAAUUUUACGGAUUUGAAUUUCGAGUUUUGUAACUCGAGUUAUGAUUUAUUUAGUGAUCAUGACGCAGGAGGGACAACUUGAUCAAAUCGGAGUAAAUAGUAAAAUUAAAAAUAUGAUAUAAUUGAGUUAUGUUGUAAACAUAUUAGAUUCCUUAUUUGUUAUUUAUAUACUUACUUACUAAGCUAUAAGCUUACUUUCUUUGCUCUCCUUUGUCUUAUAGUGUCAUCCAGCUAGCACAGGAGUUAGAGAUCGUUGAAGAUCCGCCCGCACUAUCAAUACUCUUGGUAUUUGAACUCAACAUUUUGAAAUAUGGCAUGUAUAGCAGACUUAGUUAUUUUGUUACGUGUCAUAAUUGUCUAGGUUUAAAAUACUAAUUAUAGUAUCAAACUAAUCAUUUUCUACGAAGCCUUUGAAAUUGGUUUGUAUUGUUAAUGGCAUAUGUUAUAAUGAUUCAUGAUCAAAUUGUACGCCAUAUUUUUUGUUGGGUUUUAUUUAAUAGUAUAUACUAUAAUUUGUUAAUACCUCGUGCCCUGUUCCAGCGACGGAUACGGGUAAGGGGUGUUACAUUUAGUGGUAUCAGAUCCAUGGUUUAGUCGGUUCUCAGACUAAUAAAGUUUGUGUAAAAGAUCAGCUAUACAUGCCAUAAAAAUAUUGUGAUAGUGCGGUGACUCCUGAUUAUUCUAAACUGUGUUUUGUUUUAAUAUAGUAAUGGAUCCUGAAGGAACUGCGGCUAAUGAUGCUGCUAGUAAUGCGCCGGCUCCCGCACAAGGGACCGCGCCUGUGGAAAGUAGACCUAAGACAUUGAGACAGGGAGAUGAGGCUCGGGAUGCCUUUCUCCAAAUGAUGAACAAUUGGUAUAUUGAGUUUAUUCGAGCAAAUCCAAAUGCUCAACCUCCUCCACCCCCUCCCAUACCUCAGACGGUUCCGUAGCUGCUCAAGGCAUAGAUUUGGUAAGAACGAACAAGCCUCCGGUUGACAAGAUUCGAAAACAAGGGGCCGAAGAGUUUAGAGCAAAGAUCGAUGAUGAUCCUGAGAAAGUGGAGUUCUGGCUUGAAAAUUCUACCCGUGUAUUUGAUGAGCUCUCAUGUACACCCGAGGAGUGCUUAAAGUGUGCUGUAUCACUUUUGAGAGAUUCGGCCUGCCACUGGUGGAAGACUUUGGUACCAGUGGUGCCAAAAGAAAGAGUUACUUGGGAUUUCUUCCAGGAAGAAUUCAGAAACAAAUACAUAAGUCAGUGAUUUAUUGAUCAAAAACGGAAGAAGUUCCUUGAAUUGAAGCAGGGCAAGAUGUCUGUGGCAGAGUAUGAACCCGAAUUUGUAAGACUCAAUAAGUAUGCCCAGGAAUGUGUGUCCACCGAGGCCAUUAUGUGCAGAAGGUUUGAAGAUGGGCUAAAUAAGGACAUUAAAGUGCUUGUGGGAAUUUUGGAGUUGAAAGAAUUUGUAGUAUUGGUUGACCGAGCUCUUAAAGCCGAAGAAUUGAACAAAGAAAGAAGAAAAGCUGCUAUUGAGGCUCGAGAUGCCAGAAAAAGGCCGAUAAGCAAGUCAUUUCAAUCUCAAUCAAAGAGGUCCAAAGAGACAAACCCUCGAAUGAUAGUUUCAAUUGGGGAUUCACACAGAGAUCGUGGUAGAGCAUAUUCGGGGUCUAAAGCUCAAGCUACUUCGGUGGCAAGUAUGGGUAAUGUGCGACCUAGAAAGCCCGAGUGUCAGCAAUGUGGCAGGCAACAUUAUGGUGAGUGUUGGGGAAACGAGCGAGCUUGUUUCAGGUGCGGUUCUCGCGAGCAUUUUAUUAGAGACUGUCCGGAGAAAGUUAAAGAAGAAAGAUUUCAGAGUGCUAGACAGAAUACCACCGCUAGCAGAGGUAGACCACCGAGAAAUAUUAGAGGUGGGACUAGCAGUAAAACUGCGAUGAAAGAUUCAGCGGCAAGAUCAGAAGCUAGAGCGCCUGCUAGAGCUUAUGCUAUACGUGCCCGAGAAGAUGCAUCAUCUCCCGAUGUCAUUACUGAUACAUUUUCUCUCUAUGAUACUAUUGUUAUUGUAUUGAUUGAUCCCGGGUCCACUCAUUCCUAUAAUUGCAUGAAUUUAGUAUCUAACAAAAAGUUGCCUGUUGAGUUUACUGACUUUACAAUUAAAGUGUCGAACCCCUUAGGCCAAUAUGUGCUAGUUGACAAGGUUUGCAAGAAUUGCCCAUUAAUGAUUCAAGGUCACUGUUUUCCGGCUAAUCUGAUGCUGUUACCAUUUGAUGAGUUUGACGUUAUUUUGGGAAUGGACUGGUUGACAUUGUAUGAUGCCAAGGUAGAUUGUAAACAAAAAACACUAGAGUUGAAAUGUGAAAAUGGAGAAAUUCUGUGGGUUGAAACAGAUGAAUCAAAUAAAUUGCCUAUGGUGAUUUCGCACAUGUCUGCACAGAAAUACAUGAGGAAAGGGUGUGAAGCUUAUCUAGCUUAUGUAAUGAAUACUGAUUUGCCUUAACUGAAGUUUGAAUUAGUACCGAUAGUCUGUGAGUUUCCAGAUGUAUUUCCAGAGGAAUUGCCUGGGUUGCCUCCGAACAGAGAGAUAGAGUUUGCCAUUGAUUUGUUGCCGGGUACUGCAUCGAUCUCGAUUGCUCCAUAUAGAAUGGCUCCAACUGAAUUAAAAGAAUUGAAGGCUCAGUUGCAAGAGUUAACAGAUAAGGGAUUUGUGAGACUGAGUUUCUCUCCCUGGGGUGCUCCUGUAUUGUUCGUAAAGAAGAAGGAUGGUUCAAUGAGACUUUGCAUUGAUAAGGUGACUAUAAAGAACAAAUACCCAUUGCCGAGGAUUGAUGAUUUAUUCGAUCAGUUAAAGGGGGCCACAGUGUUUUCAAAGAUCGAUUUGAGGUCUGGUUACUACCAGUUGAGAGUUAAGGAGUCGGAUGUGCCGAAAACUGCCUUUAGGACAAGGUAUGGACAUUAUGAGUUUCUUGUGAUGCUUUCGGCUUAACAAAUGCUCCAGCUAUAUUUAUGGACUCGAUGAACCGGAUCUUUCGGCCAUAUUUGGAUAAGUUUGUAGUAGUGUUUAUGUAACACCCCUUACCCGUAUUCCUUACCGGAACAGAGUAUGAGGUAUUACUAAAUUUUUAAAAAUUUUCGACAGCAUUCCUACUUAUUUUUUUGCUUAAACCUCCUGCAAAUUUAGAACACAUUCCAAUAUACCAACCAAUUUCAUUUGUAUAAACACACAUAUAGUUUAACUAUUAAUAAACACUACAUUUAAAAGGGAACCAUAACAUAUAUUUACAUGAUGAUCCCACAUUACAUAAAGUGUCUAUACAUGCCAUAAAAUUUCGGAACACUAGUAGUAAAAUACCCCAAAUGUGAAGGAUAGUGUAGAUGAUUGUCUGACUUCGUUCCAAUUUCCGAGUUGUUGGAAGUCACUAUAACCAAGAGAAAAAUAAAAUCGAGUAAGCAUAUAGCUUAGUAAGUAAACACAUGAUAAAUAAGUAAUUACUCCCAUAACUACACCAAAAUAUAAACUUAUUCAUGAAUAACUUUAUUGUUUAGGCAAUUUCCAGCAAGCUGUUUUUCUGCGUCAUAGUCGCUAAUUUAUUUUUAUCUGGAGCUACAGGGCUCCAAAUUGAGUUCCGUAAAUUUUUCCUGAAACUAGACUCAUAUACCAUUUCACCAUAAAAAUUUCAGAAUUUUUAACCCAUCCAAUUAGUACAGUUUAUUCAUUAAACCUUCCCCUGUUUCACUGCCCAACGGUUCUGACCCUUCCUCACUAAAAUUUACUUAACUAUCUGUAAAAAAUUUGAAAAAUGGGUUUUCUUGUUUCUAAUAAAAAUAGACUCAAUAAGGAUUCCAGGGAUAUAAAUUUCAUGCCAUAAUUAUUUUUUUACAAUUUUUGGUAAUUUUCCAAAGUUAGAACAGGGGAUCUCGAAAUCAAUCCAGCCCUGUUUUAGUAAAAUUCAGAUAUCUCCAAAAAUACAACUCUUUUGCUUAUUCCAUUUCUUUCAUAUGAAAACAGACAAUCCAGCUUCAAUUUCAUAUAUUAUUCAGCUUCCCAUUCAUUUUCCACCAUUUAUGGUGAUUUUUCAAAGUUACCCAACUGCUGUUGUUCAACACAGUUUAUAAUUAAAUCGUUCCUUUUUCGUUUUUGAUAUUUUCUCCCAUCUCAUACAUGGAUCGAUUUAGUGUCCAACUCAAUAUUUACCCCAUAAAAUUUUCCACCAUAUGGCAAUAUUCACCUUCCACACUUUUUCGUUGAACACUCGGAAUGUUAACCGUUAUUGGUGGAUCUCGCACUUAGCACCACCACUGAAUCGGGGAAUCAUCACUUAGCAACCCCUCGGGGGAAUCAGCACAUAGCAACCCCCUUUUCAUUUCAAAUAUACAAUGGAUAUCGCACUUAGCAACCCCUCGGGGGAAUCAGCACAUAGCAACCCCCUUUCACAUUUCAAAGAUAUGGUGGAUAUCGCACUUAGCACCACCAAUGAACCGGGGAAUCAGCACUUAGCAACCCCUCGGGGGAAUCAGCACAUAGCAACCCCCUUUCACAUUUCAAAGAUAUGGUGGAUCACGCACAUAGCACCACCCAUAAAUCGGGGAAUCAGCACACAGCAACCCCUUUUAUAUACAACAUACUACGGCUUAUUCCGAGUGUUCAACCCAUAACCCAUAUAUUGCAACCCUUUAUCACCUUUCCCGAUUUAACAACAUUUUUAGGAUAUUGCCAAACAUUUAUUUUAAUUCCAAAUAAAUCUCAACAUAUAUCAAAUAAUAUCAAAAUAAUACAUUAAGUCACGUGUUUACUUACCUCGGUGCAAAAUAUCGUAAUUUUGCACUUUACUCCACUAUCUUUUCUUUUCCUCGUUUGAUAUACUCUCCACGUCUUUCUUGAUCUAUAAUAGCAAAUUUAACUCGUUUAAAGUCCACAUUUAUUAAAAUAAUCCACCACCCAACUUUUUGAAAAUUACAAUUUUGCCCCCAAAUUUUUGCAUAAUUACACUUUUGUCCCCAAGCUCGGAAAUUAAUCUUCAUCACUUAUUCUUAAGUUUUAUAACAUGCUAAACAUUUUUCCCUUCUAUGGAAACAUCAAAUUCCCACUCCAACACAUACUUUUGAAUAUCAAUUAUUUUUACCGAUUAUGUCUAUUUACCCGUUUUCGCUUAAAAUUGCUUAGCAAAAGUUGUUUAACAUAAUAUCUAGCUUCAUAUUCCACCAUAAAACAGCAAAAUAAACACAUUUCACCUAUGGAUAUUUUUCCAAAUAUGAACCCUAACAUGAAUUAAUGGUAGAAUAAGCUAAACCAAGUUACCGGGACUCCAAAAAUACGAAGAACAUUAAAAACGGGGCUUAGAAUCACUUACUAUGGAGCUUGAAAGCUUAAAAACCCUAAAUAUGGCUUCCCCCUUGCUGAUUUCGUUCACCAUGAAGAAGAUGAGCAUAUUUUGCCAUCUUUUUCCCAUUUAAUUCUAUUUAAUAACCAAAUGACUAAAAUGCCCCCAUUUAAAAAAAAUCUAUUUCACCCAUUUCUUAUGUCUAUUUUUGUCCAUCAACUAACUAAUGGUCUAAUUACCACAUAAAGACCUCCAAUUUAAAAUUUCAUAACAAUUAGACACCUCUAAGAUGUAGAACUCAACUUUUGCACUAUUUACAAUUUAGUCCUUUUGACUAAAUUGAGUGCCCAAACGUCGAAAUUUUCGAACGAAAUUUUUACGAAAAUUUUCCGUGAAAUUGUAGAUAAUAAAAAUAUAAUAAUAACCAUAUUUUCCCUCGUCGGAUUUGUGGUCCCGAAACCACUAUUCCGACUAGGCCCAGAAUCGGGCUGUUACAACUCUCCCCCCUUAGGGAUUUUCGUCCCCGAAAAUCUUACCGGAAAAGAGGUUUGGGUACUGUUUCCUCAUAAUUUCCUCCGGUUCCCACGUAGCCUCUUCCAUUCCAUGUUUUUGCCACAACACUUUCACUAAGGCUACACUUUUAUUUCUUAACUGUUUGACCUCCCGAGCCAAAAUCUUUAUGGGUUCUUCUUCAUAAGUCAUAUCUGGUCGAACCUCAAUCUCUGUAGGAGAAACUAUAUGUGAAGGAUCCGAACGAUAACGUCGCAACAUCGACACAUGAAAUACAUUAUGUAUCUUUUCCAACUCUGGCGGUAAAGCUAACCGAUAUGCUACAGGGCCAACUCUCUCGGUAACUUCAUAUGGUCCAAUAAAACGUGGACUUAGUUUGCCUUUACGACCAAAUCUCAGAAUCUUCUUCCAUGGGGAUACUUUCAAGAACACUUUAUCACCCACUUGAAACUCAAUUUCUUUUCUCUUUAAAUCCGCAUACGACUUUUGCCGAUCUGAGGCAGCUUUUAGGCAAUCACGGAUUAUUUUCACCUUUUCUUCAGUUUCUUUCACCAGGUCGACUCCAUGAAUCCGAUUCUCACCGAGUUCAGUCCAAUAUAAAGGGGUUCUACAUUUACGCCCAUAUAAUGCUUCAUACGGUGCCAUUUGUAUACUUGACUGAUAACUAUUAUUAUAAGCAAAUUCAACCAGUGGUAGAUAUUUCUCCCAACUGUCCUUCAUUUCUAAAAUACAACACCGGAGCAUGUCUUCAAGAACUUGAAUCACCCUUUCUGAUUGUCCGUCAGUUUGCGGAUGAAAUGCAGUACUGAAAUUCAAUUUCGUACCCAAAGCUUCCUGUAACUUUAUCCAAAACCUCGAAGUAAAUCUCGGAUCUCUAUCCAAUAUAAUAGAUUUAGGCACCCCAUGUAGUCUCACUAUUUCAGCAACAUAUAAUUCAGCCAACCUGUCAAGUGAAUAAUCAAUGCGUAUCGGAAUAAAAUGGGCUGACUUUGUCAAUCUAUCCACAAUUACCCAAAUAGCAUCUUUCUUCUUUGGAGUUAAAGGCAAUCCUGUCACGAAAUCCAUCGUGAUACUGUCCCACUUCCAUUCUGGAAUCGUUAUCGGUUGAAGUAAACCCGAUGGCACUUGAUGCUCAGCCUUCACUUGUUGACAGAUUAAACAUUUUGUUACAAAUUCCGAGAUAUCCUUUUUCAUGCCCGGCCACCAAUACAACUUCCUCAAAUCAUUGUACAUUUUCACACUACCCGAAUGGACUGAUAAAUCACCACUGUGUGCCUCACCUAAAAUAGUCCGAAUUAGCUCAUCAUUUCUCGGUACACAUAUUCUGUCCCUGAACAUCAGGCAAUCAUCUGAACCAAUUUGAAAAUCUGAGUCAACACCUGCUUCACACUGAGCUCUCUUGGCUUGCAAUUUACUGUCAUUCUUUUGAGAUUCCCGAAUUUGCUGAAGAAAUAACGGUCUAGCUCUCAAUUCAACCAACAUUGAGCCAUCAUCAGAUAAAGUUAACAUCGUACCCAUAGCUCUCAAAGCAAAUAAAGAUUUUCUGCUCAAGGCAUCAGCAACCACAUUAGCUUUCCCGGGGUGAUAAUCAAUCACUAGCUCAUAGUCUUUGAUUAGCUCGAGCCAUCUUCGUUGCCGCAAAUUCAAGUCUUUUUGACUCAUCAAAUAUUUCAAACUCUUAUGAUCAGUGAAGAUUCGGCACUUUUCACCAUACAAAUAAUGACGCCAAAUUUUUAAAGCAAAAACAAUGGCAGCCAAUUCUAAAUCAUGCGUCGGAUAAUUCUUCUCAUGCGGUUUCAACUGUCUCGAAGCAUAAGCUAUUACUUUGCCCUCUUGCAUUAACACACACCCAAGGCCAUUCAACGAUGCAUCACUGUAAAUUACAAACUCCUUCCCGGACUCAGGUUGCACCAACACUGGCGCCUCAGUCAAUAAUGCCUUCAACUUUUCAAAACUCUGUUGACAUUUAUCGGUCCAUUCAAACUUGACAUUCUUCUGCAGUAACUUAGUCAUAGGAGAAGCAAUCAUCGAGAAUCCCUAGACAAACCGUCUGUAAUACCCAGCUAAGCCCAGGAAGCUUCUAACUUCAGUCACAUUCUUUGGUGGCUCCCAAUCAACAAUUGCUGAAAUUUUGCUUGGAUCAACCCGAAUACCUUCACUUGAAACUAUAUGUCCCAAGAAUCCAACCUCACGAAGCCAAAACUCACUUUUGCUGAAUUUAGCAUACAAUUUCUUUUCUCUCAGAAUCUGCAACACAGUUCUCAAAUGUUCUGCAUGUUCCGAUUCAUCCCGAGAAUAGAUUAAAAUAUCAUCUAUGAACACCACCACGAACUUGUCUAAGUACAGCCGAAAAAUUCGGUUCAUCAAGUCCAUAAAAAUAGCUGGAGCAUUAGUCAACCCAAAAGGCAUUACCAGAAAUUCAUAGUGUCCAUACCUCGUUCUGAAGGCGGUUUUCGGCACAUCAGACUCUUUAACUCUCAACUGAUAGUAACCAGACCUCAGAUCGAUCUUGGAGAACACUGUUGCCCCUUUUAAUUGAUCAAACAAAUCAUCAAUUCUCGGCAAAGGAUACUUGUUCUUUAUGGUCACCUUAUUGAGCUGACGAUAGUCAAUACAAAGUCUCAUAGAGCCGUCCUUCUUUUUCACAAAUAACACAGGAGCACCCCAAGGAGAAAAACUCGGUCUCACAAAUCCUUUAUCUGUCAACUCUUGUAACUGAGCUUUUAAUUCCUUCAACUCAGUCGGAGCCAUUCGAUACGGUGCAAUAGAAAUCGGUGCAGUAUCAGGUAACAGAUCAAUAGAAAACUCAACUUCUCUAAUCGGAGGUAACCCAGGCAAUUCCUCUGGAAAUACAUCUGGAAAUUCACAGACUACCGGCACUGAUUCAAGCUUCGACCCAGUUAUAUCAGUAUUCAACACAUAAGCAAGAUAAACUUCACAUCCCUUUCUCAAGUAUUUCUGAGCAGACAUGUGCGAAAUCACCAUAGGCAACUUAUUCGGCUCCUCUGUUUCAAUCCGGAGAAUUUCACCAUUUUCACACUUUAAUUCAAGAAUUUUCUGUCUACAAUUCACCUUGGCAUCAUGCAAUAUCAACCAAUCCAUCCCCAAAAUAACAUCGAACUCAUCAAAUGGUAACAACAUCAAAUUAGCCAGGAAACAGUGACCUUGAAUCAUCAGGGGGCAAUUCUUGCAAAUCUUAUCAACUAAGACAUACUUGCCUAAUGGAUUUGAUACUUUAACUACAUAUUCAGUGUUUUCAACAGGCAAUUUCUUACUAGAUACCAAUUUCAUGCAUACAUAUGAAUGAGUAGAGCCGGGAUCAAUCAAAGCAAUAACAUCUAUAUCAUGAAGAGAAAAUGUACCAGUAAUCACAUCGGGAGAUGAGGCAUCCUCUCGAGCACGUAUGGCAUAAGUCCUGGCAGGCGCUCUAAUUUCUGAUCCUCCAGCUGCAUCUUUCAUCACACUUUUACCACUGACUUUGCUUCCCACAUUUCUCGGCGGUCUCCCUCUACUAACAAUAUCACUCGAUCCAGCUCUUGGCAAAUUUUCUUCCUCUCUUCUCUCAGGGCAAUCUCUUACAUAAUGCUCUUGGGAACCACACCUGAAACAAGCUCGUUUAAAUCCCCAACACUCACCAAUAUGUCGCCUGCCACACUGUUGACAUUCAGGCCGGGUGUUUCCUACAUUGCCCACACUUGCUACAGAGGUAGCUCGAGUUGUAGCUCCAGAAUACGACCUCCCUCGGUCUCUGCGUGAAUACCCAACUGAACCAGUUGGUCGUGGAUCCAUCCCUUUAAACUUCUUCGAAUGAGAUUGAAAUGUUCUGCCCAUUGUCCUCUUCCUUACAUCUCGAGAUUCCAUCUCUGCCCUUCUCUUUUCUCUACUCAGUUCUUCAGCUUUACAGGCCCGAUCAACUAACACCACAAAUUCUUUUAACUCUAAAAUCCCAACAUGCAAUCUGAUGUCUUCAUUUAGCCCCUCUUCAAAUCUUUUACACAUAAUAGCCUCCGUAGGCACACAUUCCUGGGCAUAUUUACUAAGCCGAACAAACUCCCGUUCAUAUUCUGCUACGGACAUUCGGCCCUGUUUCAACCCGAGAAACUCUUUGCGUUUUUGAUCAAUAAAUCGUUGGCUUACAUAUUUCUUUCUAAAUUCUUCCUGAAAGAAGUCCCAAGUAACUCUUUCUUUUGGAACCACCGAUAUCAAUGUUUUCCACCAACGAUAUGCCGAAUCCUUCAAUAAAGACACAGCACAUUUCAAACAUUCUUCAGGGGUGCAAGAUAAUUCAUCAAAUACCCGAAUAGUAUUUUCAAGCCAAAACUCGGCUUUUUCCGGAUCAUCAUCAACAUUGGCCCUAAAAUCUUCAGCCCCAUGCUUUCGAAUUCUAUCAACAGGUGGCUUACUUGAUCUCACCAAUUCGGCACUCCGUGGAGCUACGGGGACCGGUUGAGGAAUAGGAGGGGGUGGAGGAGGAGGAACAUUCGGAUUUACACGGACAUAUUUUAUAUACCAAUCACUCAUCAUUCGGAGGAAGGCUUCCCGAGCCUCAUCCUGUCCAUGUGUCUCAUGUCUACUCUCUUCCUGCGCGGUCCCUUGCGCGAGAGCCGGCGCGUUACUUUCAACAUCAUCUGCCACACUUCGAUCAGGAUCCAUUUACUAUAUAAAACAAAAUUUUAAAUUGUCAGAAAUCAUCACACUAUCACAAUAAUUUUAUGGCAUGUAUAGACUGACUUCCACACGUAUUUUAUUGGUCCGAGAACCGACUAAACCGUAGCUCUGAUACCACUAAAAUGUAACACCCCUUACCCGUAUUCCUUACCGGAACAGAGUAUGAGGUAUUACUAAAUUUUUAAAAAUUUUCGACAGCAUUCCUACUUAUUUUUUUGCUUAAACCUCCUGCAAAUUUAGAACACAUUCCAAUAUACCAACCAAUUUCAUUUGUAUAAACACACAUAUAGUUUAACUAUUAAUAAACACUACAUUUAAAAGGGAACCAUAACAUAUAUUUACAUGAUGAUCCCACAUUACAUAAAGUGUCUAUACAUGCCAUAAAAUUUCGGAACACUAGUAGUAAAAUACCCCAAAUGUGAAGGAUAGUGUAGAUGAUUGUCUGACUUCGUUCCAAUUUCCGAGUUGUUGGAAGUCACUAUAACCAAGAGAAAAAUAAAAUCGAGUAAGCAUAUAGCUUAGUAAGUAAACACAUGAUAAAUAAGUAAUUACUCCCAUAACUACACCAAAAUAUAAACUUAUUCAUGAAUAACUUUAUUGUUUAGGCAAUUUCCAGCAAGCUGUUUUUCUGCGUCAUAGUCGCUAAUUUAUUUUUAUCUGGAGCUACAGGGCUCCAAAUUGAGUUCCGUGAAUUUUUUCUGAAACUAGACUCAUAUACCAUUUCACUAUAAAAAUUUCAGAAUUUUUAACCCAGCCAAUUAGUACAGUUUAUUCAUUAAACCUUCCCCUGUUUCACUGCCCAAUGGUUCUGACCCUUCCUCACUAAAAUUUACUUAACUCUCUGUAAAAAAAUUGAAAAAUGGGUUUUCUUGUUUCUAAUAAAAAUAGACUCAAUAAGGAUUCCAGGGAUAUAAAUUUCAUGCCAUAAUUAUUUUUUUACAAUUUUUGGUAAUUUUCCAAAGUUAGAACAGGGGAUCUCGAAAUCAAUCCAGCCCUGUUUUAGUAAAAUUCAGAUAUCUCCAAAAAUACAACUCUUUUGCUUAUUCUAUUUCUUUCAUAUGAAAACAGACAAUCCAGCUUCAAUUUCAUAUAUUAUUCAGCUUCCCAUUCAUUUUCCACCAUUUAUGGUGAUUUUUCAAAGUUACCCAACUGCUGUUGUUCAACACAGUUUAUAAUUAAAUCGUUCCUUUUUCGUUUUUGAUAUUUUCUCCCAUCUCAUACAUGGAUCGAUUUAGUGUCCAACUCAAUAUUUACCCCAUAAAAUUUUCCACCAUAUGGCAAUAUUCACCUUCCACACUUUUUCGUUGAACACUCGGAAUGUUAACCGUUAUUGGUGGAUCUCGCACUUAGCACCACCACUGAAUCGGGGAAUCAUCACUUAGCAACCCCUCGGGGGAAUCAGCACAUAGCAACCCCCUUUUCAUUUCAAAUAUACAAUGGAUAUCGCACUUAGCAACCCCUCGGGGGAAUCAGCACAUAGCAACCCCCUUUCACAUUUCAAAGAUAUGGUGGAUAUCGCACUUAGCACCACCAAUGAACCGGGGAAUCAGCACUUAGCAACCCCUCGGGGGAAUCAGCACAUAGCAACCCCCUUUCACAUUUCAAAGAUAUGGUGGAUCACGCACAUAGCACCACCCAUAAAUUGGGGAAUCAGCACACAGCAACCCCUUUUAUAUACAACAUACUACGGCUUAUUCCGAGUGUUCAACCCAUAACCCAUAUAUUGCAACCCUUUAUCACUUUUCCCGAUUUAACAACAUUUUUAGGAUAUUGCCAAACAUUUAUUUUAAUUCCAAAUAAAUCUCAACAUAUAUCAAAUAAUAUCAAAAUAAUACAUUAAGUCACGUGUUUACUUACCUCGGUGCAAAAUAUCGUAAUUUUGCACUUUACUCCACUAUCUUUUCUUUUCCUCGUUUGAUAUACUCUUCACGUCUUUCUUGAUCUAUAAUAGCAAAUUUAACUCGUUUAAAGUCCACAUUUAUUAAAAUAAUCCACCACCCAACUUUUUGAAAAUUACAAUUUUGCCCCCAAACUUUUGCAUAAUUACACUUUUGUCCCCAAGCUCGGAAAUUAAUCUUCAUCACUUAUUCUUAAGUUUUAUAACAUGCUAAACAUUUUUCCCUUCUAUGGAAACAUCAAAUUCCCACUCCAACACAUACUUUUGAAUAUUAAUUAUUUUUACCGAUUAUGUCUAUUUACCCGUUUUCGCUUAAAAUUGCUUAGCAAAAGUUGUUUAACAUAAUAUCUAGCUUCAUAUUCCACCAUAAAACAGCAAAAUAAACACAUUUCACCUAUGGAUAUUUUUCCAAAUAUGAACCCUAACAUGAAUUAAUGGUAGAAUAAGCUAAACCAAGUUACCGGGACUCCAAAAAUACGAAGAACAUUAAAAACGGGGCUUAGAAUCACUUACUAUGGAGCUUGAAAGCUUAAAAACCCUAAAUAUGGCUUCCCCCUUGCUGAUUUCGUUCACCAUGAAGAAGAUGAGCAUAUUUUGCCAUCUUUUUCCCAUUUAAUUCUAUUUAAUAACCAAAUGACUAAAAUGCCCCCAUUUAAAAAAAAUCUAUUUCACCCAUUUCUUAUGUCUAUUUUUGUCCAUCAACUAACUAAUGGUCUAAUUACCACAUAAAGACCUCCAAUUUAAAAUUUCAUAACAAUUAGACACCUCUAAGAUGUAGAACUCAACUUUUGCACUAUUUACAAUUUAGUCCUUUUGACUAAAUUGAGUGCCCAAACGUCGAAAUUUUCGAACGAAAUUUUUACGAAAAUUUUCCGUGAAAUUGUAGAUAAUAAAAAUAUAAUAAUAACCAUAUUUUCCCUCGUCGGAUUUGUGGUCCCGAAACCACUAUUCCGACUAGGCCCAGAAUCGGGCUGUUACAGUUUAUAGAUGACAUUCUAAUUUAUUCUCGAGAUGAGUCUGAACAUGCCGAACACUUGAGAACCAUAUUGCAGAUCUUGAGAGAAAAGAAACUGUUUACUAAGUUUAGUAAAAGUUAAUUCUAGCUUCGUGAAGUCAGAUUUUUGGGACAUAUAGUCUCAGGUGAUGGUAUUCGGGUGGAUCCAAGCAAGAUUUCCACGAUCAUUGAUUGGAAACCGCCAAAGAAUGUAUCCAAGGUUAGAAGCAUUUUAGGCUUGGCCAGGUAUUAUAGACGUUUUGUUGAGGGAUUUUCGAUGAUUGCCUCUCCUAUGACUAAGUUGUUGCAAAAGAAUGUUAAGUUUGAAUGGACUGAUAAAUGUCAGCAGAGUUUUGAAAACUUGAAAGCACGAUUGACUGAAGCACUAAUUUUAGUACAGCCCGAGCCAGGAAAGGAGUUCGUAAUUUAUAGUGAUGCAUCAUUGACAUGCCUUGGAUGUGUGUUGAUGCAAGAGGGUAAAGUGGUAGCUUAUGCUUCGAGACAGUUAAAACCGCAUGAGAAGAACUAUCCUACACAUGAUUUGGAAUUGGCCGCUAUUGCCUUUGCCUUGAAGAUUUAGUGACAUUAUUUGCAUGGUGAAAAAUGUCGAAUUUUUAUUGAUCAUAAAAGUUUGAAGUAUUUGAUGAAUCAAAAGGAUUUGAAUCUGUGACAGCGGAGAUGGCUUGAAUUAUUAAAGGAUUAUGAGCUAGUGAUUGAUUAUCAUCCGGGAAAAGCAAAUGUAGUUGCUGACGCAUUGAGCAGGAAAUUUCUUUUUACUUUGAUAGCCAUGAAUACGGGGUUAGCAUUGUCUGAUGAUGGGUCAAUCUUAGCAGAGAUGAGUGCUAAACCGUUAUUUCUCCAGCUGAUUUGUGAUGCUUAAAAAAACGAUAGUGAGUUGUGAAUCAAGAGAACUCAAUACAAAUCAGGUUACGACUCAGAUUUUCGAGUUGGACCAGACGACUGUUUGAUGUUUCGAGACAGGAUAUGUGUACCAAAAAACGAUGAAUUGAUUCAGAAAAUAUUACAUGAGGCGCACAGUGGCUGUUUAUCAGUUCACCCUGGUAGCACAAAAAUGUAUAAUGAUUUAAAGAAGUUGUAUUGGUGGCCAGGUAUGAAAAGGGACAUUUCUGAAUUUGUAACCAAGUGUUUGAUCUGUCAACAAGUAAAAGCUGAACAUCAAGUGCCUUCAGGACUACUUCAACCGGUAAUGGUGCCUGAGUGGAAAUGGGACAAGAUUACCAUGGAUUUUGUAACCGGUUUGCCUUUGACUCCUAAAAAGAAGGAUGCUGUCUGGGUAGUGGUUGAUAGAUUAACAAAGUCAACCCACUUUAUACCAGUACUUACCGAUUACUCACUUGAUAAAUUAGCUGAAUUAUAUAUUGCUGAAAUUGUGAGGUUGCACGGAGUACCUAUGUCUAUAAUAUCAGAUAGAGAUCCGAGAUUUACCUCGAGAUUUUGGAAAAAGUUACAAGAAGCUUUGGGUACAAAAUUGAACUUUAGUACCGCGUUUCAUCCACAAACAAAUGGUCAGUCGGAAAGAGUAAUCCAGGUACUCGAGGAUAUGCUUAGAUGUUGUGUUUUAGAAUUUGGAGGUAGUUGGGAGAAAUAUCUAUCUUUGAUUGAAUUUGCCUACAAUAAUAGUUAUUAGUCAAGUAUACAAAUGGCACCGUACGAAGCCUUGUAUGGUCGCAAGUGUCAAACUCCUUUAUAUUGGACCAAACAUAGUGAGAAACAGAUUCACGGAAUUGAUCUAGUUAAAGAAACCGAAGAGAAAAUAAAAGUAAUUCGGGAUUGCUUGAAAGCUGCUUCAGAUCGACAAAAGUCAUAUGCAGAUUUAAAAAGAAAAGAUAUUGAAUAUCAGGUGGGUGAUAAAGUGUUCUUGAAGGUGUCACCAUGGAAAAAGAUUCUGAGAUUUAGCCGAAAAGGUAAGUUGAGUCCGCGUUUUAUUGGGCCGUACGAGAUUACUGAGAGGAUUGGACCAGUGGCAUAUCAGUUGGCCUUACCGGCAGAGUUAGAAAGAAUUCAUAACGUGUUUCAUGUAUCAAUGUUGCGACGUUAUCGUUCUGAUCCUUCACAUGUGAUUUCUCCAACAGAAAUUGAGAUUCGACUGGAUAUGACCUAUGAGGAGGAACCAAUAAAGAUUUUGGCUCGGGAAAUUAAAUAGUUAAGAAAUAAAAGUAUAGCCUUAGUGAAAGUAUUGUGGCACAGACAUGGGAUAGAAGAGGCUAUGUAGGAACCUGAAGAAGCUAUGAGGAAACAGUACCCGAACCUCUUUACCGGUAAGAUUUUCGGGGACGAAAAUCUCUAAAGGGGGGAGAAUUGUGACAACCCGAAUUACGGCCUAAUCAGAAUAGUGGUUUUGUGACCACAAAUCCGAGAUAGAAAUAAUUGUUUUAUAAUUAUUUUGGGGUUUAUCAUAUGAUUUCAUGAUUUCGUGAAAAUUUCGUGAUGAAAUUCUAUGCAUUGAGCGCUUAAGUUGAGAUUAGGGACUAAACCGAAUAAAUUGUAAAACUCGUGUUUUAGAAGUUUUUAGUAUGAAAUUGCUUUGGGAUAUUAACUAGGAGGUCUUAAAUAGAAAUUUGACCCAUUCCUAAGUUAUGGACAAAAGUUGGACAUGGAGGGAAUUUUUGGAAAGUUUAGUAGUAAGGGCAUUUUGGUCAUUUGUAUAUUAAAUGAAAUAAAAUAGGAAAAAUAACACAAAAUUGGUCAUCAUCUUCACUAGUUGCUGCCGAAAUUUGCUCUCCUCCAUAGCUAGGAUUUCUUCAACUUUCAAGCUUCAUAGUAAGUGAUUUCAAGCCCCGUUUUUAAUGUUCUUCACAUUUUUGAAAUCCUCGUAGCUCGGUUUACUUAUUUCUACCAUUAUUUUGAGUUAGGGUUUAUGUUUAAAAAUUUACCCAUGAAUGAUAGGCAUGUAUUGUGUUGUUUGAUGGUAGAAUAUGAAUGUUUGAAGUUAGGAGAACGAUCUUUGCUAAGCGAUUUUUAACGAAAACGAGCAAAACGGCAUAAUCGAUAAAAAUACCUAUUGUUCAUAACUAUGUGUUAGAGUGAGAAUUUGAUGUUGCCAUAGAAGAGAAAAAUGAUUAGUAGGUCAUUAAACAUAAGAAUAAGGGCUGAAAUUAAAUUUUCGAGCCUUGGGGCAAAAUCGUAAUUUUGCCUCGAACGGGAGAUGGAGAAAGUUUUGGACUAAAUUGUAAAAUUCCCAUAUUUUGCACCGAGGUAAGUUUGUAUGUAAAUAAUACAUUAAUUUCAUUUACAUUCUUAUAUUUCAGCCUAUUAUAUAUAUACUAGCUGAUGUUGAAGUAUAAAUUGGCUGUGGAAGAAUGGAAAUAAGUAAUAGAGAGAGAGCUCCCGGUUGAACAUUCGGAAAGAUCGAAUAAAACAGAGGGAGCGUAGCUAGGUCACAUGUAUGGUGCUGAGUGCACAUCAUGUGUACAAGAAAGCUACGAGAUACUAUGUAGUAGCUAGGUCACAUGUGUAAUACGAGAUGUAUCCCAUGUAGACAAGAGAGCUACGUGAGAGAUAAAUGUAGCUAGGUCGCAUGCGUGAUUCCAAGUGAAGGACACCAUGUAGACAAGAGAGCUACGAGACAAAUUGGCUAAGUCGCAUGAGUGAUACUAAGUGUUCACCAUGUGUACAAGAGAGCCGAAUUAAAUAAAAUAUGAUGGUGGGGCUGUGUGCUGAAACCAUCAAGUAUCGAGGAUUAAUCUGAAUUGUUCAACGGGAUGGCUUUGUGGUGACAUUGUAGUCAUGGGCCUAUACUUGUUAUGUAUGAAAUGUGGUGAAAAUGAAUUGAUAUAUAUAUAUAUAUAUAUAUAUAUAAGUUAAAAUGAGGUUAGUACAAAGAAUGUGUGAAAGAGUGAAAUUAGCAUUAAAACUGUUUUGGACAGUAGCAGUGAUGUGAUUUUUAAAAAUCACCAAAAAUAGAAGGAAAUUUAAUUAUAGGUUGAAUUAGAUGUGAAAUUAAACCUUAAUGAGUCUAUUUUCAUAUAAAAGAAACAGAGCAAGCAAAUGAAUUCUAUAUUUUGAGAUAUUUACAAUUGUGUGUGACUUGCUCAGGAUGACUAUGUGAUCCCCUGUUCCAACUUUGAAAAAUCAUUAAAAAUUGUACAAAAAAAAUUAAGAAAUAUAGUUUAUAUUCCUAAAUUCCUUAUUGAUUCUAGGUUUAAAUGAAAUAAGUUUUAUGGUUAUUUGAAUUGUGUAUUGAGAGAAAUUCAAUUCGUAGUGAACAGAGGUCAGAUCAAUUGAGCUGUGUAACAGGGGAAACUUUAACUAAUAAACUGUAUUAAUUGGCUAAACCAAAAAUUAUAGAAAAUAAUUACUAAUAAUUUUUAUGAGUCUAGAUUCAGGGAAAUUUUACGGAUUUGAAUUUCGAGUUUUGUAACUCGAGUUAUGAUUUAUUUAGUAAUCAUGAUGCAGGAGGGACAACUUGAUCAAAUCGGAGUAAAUAGUAAAAUUAAAAAUAUGAUAUAAUUGAGUUAUGUUGUAAACAUAUUAGAUUCCUUAUUUGUUAUUUAUAUACUUACUUACUAAGCUAUAAGCUUACUUUCUUUUCUCUCCUUUGUCUUAUAGUGUCAUCCAGCUAGCACAGGAGUUAGAGAUCGUUGAAGAUCCGCCCGCACUAUCAAUACUCUUGGUAUUUGAACUCAACAUUUUGAAAUAUGGCAUGUAUAGCAAACUUAGUUAUUUUGUUACGUGUCAUAAUUGUCUAGGUUUAAAAUACUAAUUAUAGUAUCAAACUAAUCAUUUUGUACGAAGCCUUUGAAAUUGGUUUGUAUUGUUAAUGGCAUAUGUUAUAAUGAUUCAUGAUCAAAUUGCACGCCAUAUUUUUGGUUGGGUUUUAUUUAAUAGUAUAUACUAUAAUUUGUUAAUACCUCGUACCCCGUUCCGGCGACGGAUACGGGUAAGGGGUGUUACAAUUCAGCAAGAGAUGAAGGAACAGAUGAUGGAGUCUCAAAGAGAGAUGAUGAGUCAGUUGUCCCAAUUGCUGAUGGGAAGAAUGGAUAAGGGAAAAGGUCCAAUGGAUAAUAUGGGAGAAAGUAAUGAAGACCCCCAAUAUCCUCCUGGCUUCACUCCUGCACAUAUGCAGAUGCAACCAGAGAUUAAUUUGCAAAAGCCAUCUGUUACAAUCAGGCCUCAGCAGUUUCAAGCCGGGGUUUCGGUUCCAAUGAAUUUUCAAGCUGGUUCAAGUUAUAAUCCUGGUAAUAAUUCACAUAAUCCAAUGGUCCCUGAUUUGGAUGAAGUUGCAAAAGAGGAAAGAGCAAAAGCAGAAUCGCAAAGGCAGUUAGAAGAACGGUGCAAAUGGCUGGAGGAAAAGGUCAGAGCAAUGGAAGGUGGUGAUAGACACCCUGGGAUUGAUGCAAAGGAUCUGAGUUUGGUCCUAGACUUAGUACUGCCAUACAAGUUCAGGAUGCCAGAAUUUGAGAAAUACAAUGGAACGAGCUUUCCUGAAGCUCAUAUCACUAUGUUUUGCAGAAGGAUGACAGGGUAUGUUCAUAAUGAUCAAUUGCUGAUUCAUUGCUUCUAAGAUAGCCUGGUGGGAGUAGCUGCUAAAUGGUACAAUCAUUUGAAUCGAAACAGAAUUAGUUCAUGGAGAGAUUUAGCAUAGGCAUUCAUGAAGCAAUACAGCCAUGUGACAGAUAUAAUUCCCGAAAGAAUUACUCUGCAGAAUAUGGAGAAGAAGCCAAAUGAAAGUUUUAAGCAGUAUGUGCAGAGGUGGAGGGAAAUGGCCAUUCAAGUUUAGCCACCGCUCCUGGAGAAAGAAACUACGAUGCUCUUUAUUAACACCUUAAAGGCCCCGUUUAUAACUCAUAUGCUAGGAAGUGCCACGAGAAGCUUUGCGGAUGUGGUCAUGACAGGAGAAAUGAUUGAAAAUGCCAUAAAAAUGGAAGGAUAGACGCGGGAGAAAGUGCUAAAAGGUCUGUGCCACGGAAGAAAGAGAAUGAGGUGAACAAUGCGAACAUGGGAUAUUUGAAGUCUAUUACUGUGAGUCAACCAAAAGUGACAACUGUCGGACAAGGUUCAUCACGGCAAGAGUCAGGGACCAGGCAGAAUAAUGAGAAGAUUCAAUUUACACCAAUUCCUAUGACAUACAAAGAAUUAUAUCAAAGUUUGUUCGAUGCACAUGUGGUGGCACCUUUUUACUUAAAGCCAAUACAGCCUCCGUUCCCUAAAUGGUACGAUGCUAAUGCCCAACGUGAGUAUCACGCAGGAAUUGUGGGUCAUUCGAUAGAAAAUUGCACCACUUUUAAGAAGCUAGUUAAGAGAUUUAUCCAGAUGGGUAUUGUGAAAUUUGAUAAUGUGCCCAGCACUGAAAAUCCACUGCCUAAUCAUACAGAUGGAGGGGCAAAUGCGAUAGAUGGACGAUUUGGAAAAAGGACCAAGAGGAAUGUUUUGGAAGUAAAAACUCCUUUGAGGCGAGUUUGGAAGGAGAUGGCAAGAAGGGGAUUAGUUACUUCAAGCACAGAAGGAAAUGAUAAUGGGAUGAAAAAUUAUUGUGAUUACCAUCAUGAAGAAGGACACAGAAUUCAGGAAUGUGAAAAAUUUAGAGCUGUUAUUCAGGGUCUGAUGGACAACAAGGAAAUGGAGUUUUAUGAGAAGGACAAUGAGGAAGAGUAUAUAUGUGCUUCAGAGUCCACAUCAAGACCAAGAACAAAUUAUCCUGUGGUUAUUAUCUCGCGUCCUAAGAAUGAAGCAGGAGUUCAAAUGGCGCCAAAGGUUAUAAUUCAGAAGCCAGCAGUUUUUUCUUACAAUGAUAGUAAAUAGGUGCCCUAGAACUAUGAAUGUAAUGUGACAAUCCUGGGAAAAGAAGGUGCAAUUAGCCCGUUAAAGGAGGAUCAAAAUAUAGGUUCUCAUACACGCAGUGGAAGGCGAUAUGAUACCCGAACAGAACGGGUGAAAGAAAGAGAGGUGCUGGUUGAGCAAAAGAAAGGAAAAGCAGUUGAGCUUGAUGUGCUUGUUAAUGAACCAGUGAAAGAAGAAGAAGCUAAGGAAUUCUUGAAAUUUCUGAAACAUAGCGAGUACAGUGUGGUGGAGUAGUUGCGUAAAUAGCCGGCCCGCAUAUCUAUAUUGGCUCUACUCCUGAGUUCAGAGAUGCAUCUGAGUGCAUUGAUGAAGGUGCUAAAUGAGACAUAUGUAACCAAUGAUAUUUCUGUCAGUAAGCUGGAUUGGUUGGUUAACAACAUAAGUGCAGACAACUUUAUCUUUUUCAAUGAUGAUGAGAUUCCACUAGGAGGGAUGGGAUCUACCAAAGCUUUGCAUAUAACUACCAGACGUAAAGGAUACACGCUGCCAGGGGUAUUGGUAGAUAACGAUUCAGCAUUGAAUGUGUUGCCUUUGUCCACACUGAACAAGUUACUUGUGGAUAGUUCUCAUAUGAAAGGAUGUCAGAAUAUAGUACGAGCAUUUGAUGGCACAGAGAGGAGAGUCAUGGGGAGAAUUGAGGUACCCUUGUUAAUUGGCCCAACCACGUAUGAGGUAGAUUUUCUAGUAAUGGAUAUUAAGUCCUCUUACAACUGCUUGUUGGAAAGACCUUGGAUACACCCAGCAAGGGCAGUACCUUAAUCAUUACAUCAAAAGCUGAAGCUAGUGUCAGAGGGGCGGUUGCUAACAAUAAAUGCUGAAUAAGAUAUUAUCGUGACCAUAAGCAGUCAUGCGCCUUAUGUAGAAACAGAUGAGGAAGCUAUUGAGUGUUCUUUUCGGUCUUUGGAGUUUGUAAAUGCAACAUUCAUCACUGAGGGAAGUAGAAUUCUGAAGCCCCAAAUGUCCAAAACUACUAUGAUGGGUUUACAGUUGAUGGUAGGCCGGGGAGCUGUACCAGGAAAAGGACAUGGAAGAUGCCUUCAAGGAGGAAUUGUAGUUCCAAUGCUGAAAGACAAACAGGAUCGUUUUGGUUUGGGGUUCAAGCUAGAUGCAAGACAAAGGAAGAAGGAACUAGAAAGAAGACAAGAAAGAAGAAAAGCACGAGUGAGUGGUGGGGAAAUCAAAUGGGAACCCAUGAUAAUUCCUCAUAUCUCCAAGACUUUUGUGUCAGGGGGCAUUAUUUAUCCUGAACGGGGGAUGUUGGAGAAAGAAAGCAUGGAAGAAGCAUUGGGAGAUAUGUACAUCAAUGCCAUAUCUGAGGAGACAAUUGAAGAGGGGAUUUCGUCAAAUAUUCGUCCAUAUGAGCCCGGGAGUGUUCUAAACAAUUGGACUGCAGAAGAUCUUCCUGUAGUUUUUAGAGCUUACUUAGAGUAAUGUUCGAAACAAACUUGUUGUUUUAAGCCUAGAAACAAUAAAUAUUUCUUUGUGAAAUAGGCUCAUGUUCAAACAUCAUUAUUUCUAUGAAGUACAUUUUUUGCUAUCAUUUUGAGUAAAUGUUGUUCGUUUCAUAAGCAAUUGUGUUAAUUCUUUCUAUCUAAAUAAUUAUCUUGAUUAUUUCUUCAACUAUUCUCUUGUUCAUAAACAUAUCAUACAAAGCAAUAAUUACCAAAUUCAUUCAUUCUUUGUAUAUUUCUAUACAUUUAAUAGGUCCCUAGAUAUCAAUGUCAUGAGCGACGCUAUUACUGACUCAGAAUCACUAUUUGAGCGAGACAUGUGUUUAGAGGGAUCUCAAGACUUUGAAAAUGACAGAGAUUGUGAUUUAUCUCCAGAUUUGUUAAGGAUGGUAGAAUAAGAGGAAAAGCAAAUUUUGCCUCACAAAGAAACCGUAGACAUGGUGACUUUGGAGGAGGGGAAAGUUGUAAAAAUUGGAACAUGCAUAACUGAAGAAAAAAAGCGAGACCUUGUUGGGUUACUUCAGGAAUUCAAAGAUGUUUUUACAUGGUCAUACCAGGAUAUGCCCUGUUUAAGUCUUAACAUUGCGGUGCAUUGUCUUCCCAUAAGAGAAGAUUGCAAGCCAGUAUAGCAGAAGCUUCAACGAAUGAGGCCAGAUAUCGUCUUAAAGAUCAAUGAGGAAGUCAAAAAGUAGUUUGAUGCAGGAUUCCUUCAGGUGAUCAAGUACUCAGAAUGGGUAGCCAAUGUUGUGCCUAUUCCCAAGAAAGAUGGCAAGGUGCGAAUGUGUGUGGACUAUAGAGAUCUAAAUAAAGUGUGAGCCCAAAGGACAACUUCCCUUUGCCUCACAUUGAUACACUAGUGGAUAAUACGGCUGGUUACUCAUUGUUUUCCUUCAUGGAUGGUUUCUCGGGGUAUAAUCAGAUCAAGAUGCAUCCUGAGGACAUGGGAAAGACUACUUUUAUAACAUUGUGGGGCACGUUCUGUUACAAGGUAAUGCCAUUUGGAUUGAAGAAUGGUGGAGCGACAUAUCAGAGAGCUAUGAUAACUUUAUUCCAUGAUAUGAUGCACAAAGAAAUUGAAGUGUAUGUUGACGACAUGAUAGCCAAAUCUCGAACUGAAAGGGAACAUAUUGAAGUAUUAAGAAAGUUGUUCAUGAGAUUGAGAAAGUUUCAGUUAAUGCUUAAUCUCACGAAGUGUACUUUUGGGGCUAGAUCCGGAAAGCUAUUGGGCUUUGUGGUUAGUGAGAAGGGAAUUGAGGUUGAUUCAGACAAGGUCCGGGCUAUACAAGAGUUGUCUCCACCACGUACCUAAAAAGAAGUUCGGUGUUUCCUCGGAAGAUUAAAUUACAUUGCGCGGUUUAUUUCUCAAUUAAUGGAGAAGUGUGACCCUAUAUUCCGUCUUUUUAAAAAGCAUAACCCAGGGGAAUGGGAUGAUUAAUGUCAAAAGGCUUUUGAUAAAGUUAAAGAAUAUUUGUCAAGUCCUCUAUUGUUAUCACCCCCAAGUUCAGACAGGCCGUUGAUAUUGUAUUUGACCAUGUUUGGUAAUUCAAUGGGAUGUGUGCUUGGUCAACAUGACGAAUCAGGAAGAAAGGAAAAGGCGAUAUAUUACCUCAGUAAGAAAUUCACUGAAUGUGAGUUGAGAUAUUCGCCAAUUGAAAAAUUGUGUUGUGCUUUGGUUUGGACAACACGAAGAUUGAGGCAAUAUAUGCUGUAUCAUACAACCUGGCUAAUCUCAAAAUUGGAUCAUUUAAAGUAUAUGAUGGAAUCAAAUGCCUUGAAUGGAAGGAUGGCUAGGUGGAAAAUUUUGCUUUCUGAAUUUGACAUAAUUUACAUGAGUCAAAAAGCUGUAAAGGGGAGUGCAAUAGCAAAUUUUCUGGCUAGCCGAGCUUUAGAAGAUUAUGAACCUUUGAAUUUUGAUUUCCCUAAUGAAGAGAUAGUGUAUGUGGCGGCUGCUGAAGAGGACAACACAAAAGGUAACUGUUGGAAAUUGAAUUUUGACGGAGCCUCAAAUGUUGUGGGUAAUGGAGUUGGGGCAGUUCUAGUAUCCCCAGAUGGAGAUCAUUAUCCAUUCACAUGUAAAUUGGAUUUUGAUUGUAGGAAUAAUAUGGUAGAAUAUGAAGCAUGUAUCAUGGGGCUGAGAGCAGCUAUAGAACGCAAGAUCAAAUCAUUGGAAGUAUAUGGUGAUUAUGCAUUGGUGAUUUAUCAACUUCGAGGUGAAUGGGAGACAAGAGACGCUAAGCUAAUCAAUUAUAGAAGGUUGGUUUUGGGGUUAGUUGAAGAGUUUGAUGAUAUUACUUUUAAUUAUCUCUCGCGUAAUGAAAACCAAAUGACAGAUGCUUUGACUACUUUGGCUUCCAUGAUCAAAGUAAGCAAACAGGAUGAUAUGAAGCCCAUUCGGAUGAGUAUUUAUGAAGCCCCGUCUUAUUGUUAUAAUAUAGAGGAAGAAGAAAGAGAUGAUCAUCCUUGGUAUUAGGAUAUAUUGCGGUAUGUGAGAAAUCGUGAGUAUCCGGAUCAAGCCACGGAUAAUGACAAAAGAACAUUGAGAAGGCUCGCUUGUGAUUAUGUUUUAGAUGGAGAGAUCUUAUACAAAAGAAGGAAAGAUCAGGUACUUUUGAGAUGCGUGGAUGCCGUUGAGUCCAAGAAAAUCUUGGAAGAAGUGCACGAAGGUGUUUGUGGAACACACGCCAAUGGGUUUACAAUGGCCAGACAAAUUAUGAGGUUUGGGUAUUAUUAGUCCACCAUGGAAGGGGACUGCAUCAAUUAUGCUAAGAAAUGUCACAAAUGUCAAAUUUAUGGUGAUAAGAUUCAUGUACCUCCCUCGUCCUUGCAUGUUAUGACUUCUCAAUGGCCAUUUUCCAUGUGGGGCAUGGAUGUCAUAGGGCCAAUUUCACCUAAGGCUUCAAAUGGGCAUCGUUUCAUUUUUGUGGUCAUUGAUUAUUUUACCAAGUGGGUGGAAGCUGCUUCGUAUGCCAACGUAACUAAAUUGACAGUUAGUAGAUUCUUAAAGAAGGAAAUUAUAUAUCGAUACGGAAUGCCUGAGAAAAUCAUAUCCGAUAAUGCACUGAAUCUGAACAAUAGUACAAUAGCAGAGGUCUAUAGUCAGUUUAAAAUCAGACAUCAUAACUCAUCACCAUAUCGUCCAAAGAUGAAUGGGGCAGUGGAAGUAGCUAACAAAAAUAUCAAGAAGAUUAUGGGGAAAAUGACCGAAACUUACAAAGAUUGGCAUGAAAAGUUGCCAUUUGCUCUUUAUGCUUAUCGAACAUCUGUCAGAACUUUUACUGGGGCAACACUGUUCUCAUUGGUCUAUGGAAGGGAAGCAGUUCUGCCCAUUGAAGUGGAGAUACCUUCUCUUCGAGUUUUGUCAAAAUUGAAGUUAGAUGAAGCAGAAUGGAUACAGUCUCGAUAUGAUCAGUUGAAUUUGAUUGAGGAAAAGAGGUUAAAAGCUAUUCAACAUGGACAGAUGUAUCAAAAAAGAAUGAUACGGGCUUAUGACAAAAAGGUUCGCCCAAGAGAGUUUCAUGAGGGAGAUUUGGUUUUGAAGAAGAUUCUUCCCAUACAAAAAGAUUUCAGAGGUAAAUGGAUGCCGAAUUGGGAGGGGCCCUAUGUGGUGAAGAAAGCUUUCUCUGGUGGUGCAUUAAUACUGGCCGAAAUGGAUGGAAGAAAUUUAUCUAAUCCAGUGAACUUGGAUGCAGUCAAAAAAGUACUACACUUGACAAGGGAGGGAAGCCAAAGUGAAAACCCGUAAAGGGCGCUUUGAGACUUCCAAAAAAAAAACCCGUAAAGGGCGCUUUGAGACUUCCAAAAAAAAAUAAAGGGGCCAAAGUGAAAACCCGCAAAGGGCACUUUGAUACUCAAAUAAAAAUGGAAAGGGCCAAAGUGAAAACCCGCAAAGGGUGCUUUGAGACCCAAUAAUAAAAAAGAAAGAAAAAGAGAAAAAGGAGAGGCCAAGGUGAAAACCCGUAAAGGGCGCCUUGUGACCAAAGGGGAUUUGAGUUGAAAACCCGAAAAGGGCGGCUCAGAUAUGGAUCCAAAGUGAGGAGACUGUGAUCUUGAUAUACUUGAAUUAAUCAUGAAGGGAAUAUGGUACAUCUUGGGGCAUUGACAAAGUGCUUCUGAUCUCUUAAACACAUGUUGAGUUUGAAUUAGUCUUCAAGAAGUUUGUACAGAGAAGCUCAGGUUGCGAUAACAAGCAUGCCUAGUCUUCAUUUUCAAUAAAUUGGUUAUCUUUAUCCUUUCUUUUUCAAGAUAUACAUUCUUAAAUUAAUGGCCAUUAUUGUUCUUUUGAUAAUUUACUUUGAAUUCAGGAUUAAUUUCCAUUCUUGUUCAUUAUCACGAUUUGAUUGCAAGCAUGUUGCAUUGACAUAAUGAUGAAUGAACUAGUGAUGUUUUCACAAUAGAAGUUUUGCAUAUUACUCUAAGAGUUUCUAGAUAAUGCAAGAAUCUGAAGUGAGAUAAUUGUUUAGAAUACGCUCAAGUUCAAGGAAAUAUUUGGAUAAAUCGCCUUUUUGAGGUCUCUGUCCAAAUAAUUAUAGUAUUUUUUAGAGGAAAAAGAAAUGACAUUUUGUAUUCAUACAAAGAACAAAAAAAAUGCAUAUUUGGCUAUAACACCUGAAGAAUGAGGUAGCAAAUUGACCAAGAGGAAAAUUCAACUUUGAGUUGCAAUGUUUUGUCUCAAAAAGAAUAGUAGAAGGGACGUUGGAAUUACAGUGGGGUAAGCUCGCUAAAAGGGAUAUCUUGUUUCUUUGGGAUACUCUGUUAGGAUGACGGUUUAGCAAAGGCGUCAGUAACAGCAUAUUAAUGAGCAACGGGUGACGAUGCCCUAAAUUGUUAAAAUGGAAUCAUCUUUAUUUCUGCAUGUAUCAUUUAGUUAGGAGUAUUUGAUUCAUUUUGAUCAUAGCACCCUAAUUAUUUGACAUAAGCAUCACAUUUAGUUAGGAGCAUUUGAUUCAUUUCGAUCAUAGCAUCCUAAUUAUUUGGCAUAAGCAUGUGCAUAUAAAAUGGAGUCUACAGGAUAGGUCCCCCGGAGGGCAAUGUAGCAACAUUGGUAAAGAUUGAAGAUCUUAUCUCCCUGAAGUUGCAGUGGAGUAGAUCCUUGUAGAUGGUGAAUCUUAUCUUCAUGUAUCAGCAAUGGAGUAUAUUUUACCAUCAAACCUUAUCUCUCUGAGGUAGCAAGAAAGCAGGUUGAAGAAUGAGUCUUAUUUUCCUGAGGUAGCAAGGAAGCAGACUGAGAAUUGAAGAUUUUAUCUCCCUGAAGUUACAGCAGAGCAGAUCUUCGCAGAUGGUGAAUCUUAUCUCCAUGUAUCAGUAAUGGAGCAGAUUUUACCACCAAGCCUUGUCUCUCUGAGGUGGCAAGAGAGCAGGUUGAAGAAUGAGUCUUAUCUUCUUAAGGUAGCAAGGAAGCAGACUGAGAAUUGAAGAUUUUAUCUCCCUGAAGUUGCAGCGGAGCAGAUUUUCAUAAAUGGUGAAUCUUAUCUCCAUGUAUCAGCAAUGGAGCAGAUUUUACCACCAAGCCUUGUCUCUCUGAGGUGGCAAGAGAGCAGGUUGAAGAAUGAGUCUUAUCUUCCUGAGGUAGCGAGGAAGCAGACUAAGAAUUGAAGAUUUUAUCUCCCUGAAGUUGCAGUGGAACAGAUUUUCACAAAUGGUGAAUCUUAUCUCCAUGUAUCAGCAAUGGAGCAGAUUUUACCACUAAGCCUUGUCUCUCUGAGGUGGCAAGAGAACAAGUUGAAUAAUGAGUCUUAUCUUCCUGAGGUAGUAAGGAAGCAGACUGAGAAUUAAAAAUUUUAUCUCUCUGAAGUUGCAGCAGAGCAGAUCUUCACAGAUGGUGAAUUUUAUCUCCAUGUAUCAGCAAUGGAGUAGAUUUUACUACCAAGCCUUAUCUCUCUGAAGUAGUAGGAGAGCAAGUUGAAGAAUGAGUCUUAUCUUCCUGAGGUAGCAAGGAAGCAGACUGAGAAUUGAAGAUUUUAUCUCCCUGAAGUCGUAGAGGAGUAGAUCUUCACAAAUGGUGAAUCUUAUAUCCAUGUAUUGGCAAUGGAGCAGAUUUUACCUCCAACCUCAUCUCUCUGAGGUAGUAAGGGAGCAGGUUGAAGAAUGAGUCUUCCUGAAGUAGCAAGGAAGUAGACUGAGGGUUGAGGAUCUUAUCUCCCCGAAAUGGCAGUGGAGCAUAUUGAAAAUGAAAUUUUAUCUCCAUGUAUCGGCAAUGGAGCAGAUUUAAUCUCAUCUUCCUAAAGGUAUUUGGAAAAAAGAAGCAGCAAAAAGCUGAAAUUUAACAAGACCGAGCAAAAUCGAUUCUUUUGAAGUCUUUGCUCUACUCCCGUUACACGUCAAUGAGCAAAGAGGGGCAACUAUAGUCAACCAAUUUUGCCCGGGCCCAUUUAAUUUAUUUGCAAAUAAUAAACCCGAAUAAAUAAAUAAAAUCCAAAGACUAAAUAGUCCAGUAAAGUCCCUUUACAAUUUUCAAAAUGCAUGUACCAAAAUAACUCAUGACCCAACAAAUUUUAAAACCCAAUUCUAUAAACCCAGGCCCUAAAUCUAGCCCAAACCCGAAAAAGCCCAAAAAGGAAAAGUAUUCCAGCAGCCAAGCACCAGAAGCUUCUGGAACGUGCCAGAACAGUGCCAGGGAGUUGGGUUUCACGAGCGGAUUCCUCGCACGGUUUCGUUCAAGCGUGCUUCUCCCCGUUUCUCCGUACGGCCAUUGCUCCAUACCUGCAAAAGAAUGUACGAGAGGAAGCAGCAACAGAAUGUACAGCCAAAUGACAGAGGGAAAAUGUAUUUUUAUUUUUCAUUUAUUCUGUAAAUUUGGGCUAUAAAAGCCAUUAUUUGUACCUUGAUUUUUUACACACACACAGAAUAUAUUAUACGCAUACAAUAUCUGUACACACGUACAGAGAAGAGAGAAAAGCGAUUUAAGAUCAAUAGAGGUGAUUUCAUUUUUUUUCUCUUCCGAUUUUUUUUCGUUUUUUCUUUUCUCUUUAUUUUCUUAUUUGUUUGCUCAUUUUUUAUGCAACUUAAGGCCAACUAAAGCCCUAAAUCUGCCAUGCGAAUAUGGGCGAGAGGUCACAUAAUAGUGGAAAUCUAUUCAUUUUACAAAUCUGUCUUCAUUUUUUUUCUUUAAAAAAUAACAUGAGAUUUGAAAGCUCCAUUCAAAUAAAGAAGAAAAAAGGGAAAAUACUUAUCGAAUCCUUUUAGAUCUGGUCGAGCUCCUUUAACGGCAAGAUUGGGCAUGUCUCGCUUACUGGUAAUCACCUAAAAGCAUGGUGGUUUGGUAGUCAAGUGAAGAAAACCCUAAAAAAAUUGAAUUUAAAGGCUAGAAUUUCUUUUGAUCUAAGUGGGGAUUGUGUUUGAGGAAUGAAACAGAAGAUGAUAGGUCUUAAAUGACCAGGUAACUAUGCGGCACCGUUUCAAAGCGCAAAGACUCACGCGUCAACCUGUUUUGGUAGGCCCGGUAUGCGCAUGGUUAGGGUGAAUGGGGAAAUUGCGCGACGGAUCCCUCCCCUUUGCGCCAAGUCCUCAAUUUUCGCCUGAUUCGCCUAUUUUAUGUUUUAAAAUUGGCCCGUUAGUUUGUAUAUGGUUUCAAUUGGAUCCGUGGUUUAUUGCUGCAUUGUGAGCAUGGGAUAUUUUCAAUGCUAGUCCUCACAUGUUUGUGCGCAUGGCACAUUGAUUCUAUUUUGUAAUUAUUUUAUUUGUAAAUUGUUUCUCCUGUUUUAAUUUUGUUUCAAU
Molecule: long non-coding RNA, 40269 nt
Filed under: Gossypium barbadense (sea-island cotton)
Lineage: Eukaryota; Viridiplantae; Streptophyta; Magnoliopsida; Malvales; Malvaceae
Description: long non-coding RNA (GBAR_LNC008001)
Source: RNAcentral